UAAAAAAAAAAGAAAAUAACCUCUCGUCUUGGUCUGAAAAUUGAUAAAUAUUUUAAAAAUCUCAUUUUUUUGUAUUUAUAUUGCGUGCGUUGGAAUCAUGAAGAAGUAUGCACGCAGUCAACUUUAUGAUAAACUGCACCGAGGAGGUGUUCUGGUUUGCAUCGGUCUCACUAUUUAUGGAGGAAUCUUGUUAGGCGAUCACUUCUAUAAAUACUAUAAAUAUGUGAAACCACAAAUUGAAGCCAGCAAGGCGGCCGCAGAGAGAGAACUGCUUGCGGAAGGUUCUUCAGACAAAUAUUUGUUAAAAGAUUGAUGUUAUUACUUAAUUAAGACCUAAUUUUAUUUAUUGUUAUUGUACAUAGUUGAUAAUAAAUUAGAUGAAAAAGUAGGAAAUCAAAC
Ostrinia furnacalis (Asian corn borer) is the source of this 399-nucleotide long non-coding RNA. RefSeq lists it as uncharacterized. The record is from RefSeq and is a predicted model, not a curated record. The transcript has 2 exons. NCBI's taxonomy places the organism in Eukaryota, Metazoa, Arthropoda, Insecta, Lepidoptera, Crambidae.